AUUGUAAAGGAACAACAGGGCAGUCAAGCUAUGGUGAGUUCCGUAUCACCCAUGCCUGUCAAUGCGGAGGACAAAGAACUUGACGGAUUGGAACAGCACAAAAGGAACGAAGGCUGACGUUUUCGAUAGGAGUGGAGAGAGACUGGAAAGAGCUACGUAAUCGUAUGGGCAGAAAAACAAAUGCUCUUGAUAAUUGUUUGCUAACAGUGAUUUUUAGUUUAAACUACUUGUGGGCUGAGUAAUUUAAUUGCAAUUGGUAGUGAAUGCAGAUGAAAUUCCUAGCUAGUACCAACUUGGAAAAGUGUAUUUAAAGUCCACCAGUUAAAAUUGAUUACUAAUUGUUCACGUAAAGUCAUGCAAAUUGGGAUACGUAUUGUUUCGGAUCGUAAAUUGGAAGGACACGAAAUGUGAGUAACAAGAAGAUAACCGUUUAACAUCAAACUAAACCUAAAAUACAAUUACAGCUUGAAGCUGCAUUAGCUGCUGGAAAGACGUGUUUUAACACCUUCAACACCUAUCCGAAACAAUUAU
Long non-coding RNA from Aedes albopictus (Asian tiger mosquito), 531 nucleotides. RefSeq lists it as uncharacterized. The transcript has 3 exons. NCBI's taxonomy places the organism in Eukaryota, Metazoa, Arthropoda, Insecta, Diptera, Culicidae. The record is from RefSeq and is a predicted model, not a curated record.